GUGCAAUGGCAUAAGCCAGCUUGACUGCGAGCGUGACGGCGCGAGCAGGUGCGAAAGCAGGUCAUAGUGAUCCGGUGGUUCUGAAUGGAAGGGCCAUCGCUCAACGGAUAAAAGGUACUCCGGGGAUAACAGGCUGAUACCGCCCAAGAGUUCAUAUCGACGGCGGUGUUUGGCACCUCGAUGUCGGCUCAUCACAUCCUGGGGCUGAAGUAGGUCCCAAGGGUAUGGCUGUUCGCCAUUUAAAGUGGUACGCGAGCUGGGUUUAGAACGUCGUGAGACAGUUCGGUCCCUAUCUGCCGUGGGCGCUGGAGAACUGAGGGGGGCUGCUCCUAGUACGAGAGGACCGGAGUGGACGCAUCACUGGUGUUCGGGUUGUCAUGCCAAU
RNAcentral lists this ribosomal RNA (385 nucleotides) under Salmonella enterica. RNAcentral's name for it is "partial 23S ribosomal RNA". It matches the Rfam family "Bacterial large subunit ribosomal RNA", at positions 2349 to 2733 of the family's 2925-position model. The record is from RNAcentral. Lineage: Bacteria; Pseudomonadati; Pseudomonadota; Gammaproteobacteria; Enterobacterales; Enterobacteriaceae. RNAcentral also lists the same sequence under 1 other name.